RNAcentral lists this ribosomal RNA (358 nucleotides) under uncultured bacterium. RNAcentral describes it as "partial 16S ribosomal RNA". It matches the Rfam family "Bacterial small subunit ribosomal RNA", at positions 338 to 710 of the family's 1533-position model. The record is from RNAcentral.
CCUACGGGCGGCAGCAGUUAGGAAUAUUUGGCAAUGGGCGAAAGUCUGACCCAGCAACGCCGCGUGCAGGAAGAAGGCCUUCGGGUUGUAAACUUCUGAUCUGUGGGAAGAAAAAAAUGACGGUAUCACAGGAGAAAACCACGGAUAACUUCGUGCCAGCAGCCGCGGUAAUCCGUAGGCGGCGAGCGUUGUGGGGAAUAACUGGGUGUAAGUUGAGCUUAGGUGGUUAAUUAAUUUGGGUGUGAACUCCCAGGGCUCAACUUUGGAAUUGGAAUUAAAACUGUUUAGCUAGAGUGCAGGAGGGGUAAACGGAAUUUCUAGUGUAGGGGUGAAAUGCGUAGAUAUUAGGAAGAACACC